This 266-nucleotide ribosomal RNA is filed under the name uncultured bacterium. Its description in RNAcentral is "partial 16S ribosomal RNA". It matches the Rfam family "Bacterial small subunit ribosomal RNA", at positions 92 to 354 of the family's 1533-position model. The record is from RNAcentral.
CGACCGGCGCGACGGGUGAGUAACGCGUAUGCAACUUACCUAUCAGGAGGGGGACUAACCCGGCGAAAGUCGGACUAAUACCGCAUGAAGCAGGGGCCCCGCAUGGGGAUAUUUGCUAAAGAUUCAUCGCUGAUAGAUAGGCAUGCGUUCCAUUAGGCAGUUGGCGGGGUAACGGCCCACCAAACCGACGAUGGAUAGGGGUUCUGAGAGGAAGGUCCCCCACAUUGGUACUGAGACACGGACCAAACUCCUACGGAAGGCAGCAG